UUUCUCUCUCUCUUUCGUCACUCUCAUGGUUAGGCUUUUGCCUUGUAUUUUAAUGGCGAUCUCGAGCUUCCAUGCUCUAACAUGGUAUCAAAGCACAUAUCUGUGAUCCUUACGAGUCCCUCUAUCUUCCGAUACUACCCUCGAAGGGUUUCUAUUCAUGUGAAAGUUCGUCGCUGUCUUCAUUUUGGAGUUUUCCCAUCAAAAUCAGUAUAUCCAAGGCCUUACUUCUUCAGGUUACGAACAAGGGCGGUAACCAUUUUUUUUCAUGUAUGUUUGACUGUUUGUUCAUAAUUUUGGUUGUAAUCUGGAAUUUUGAUGAAACCCUAGCUUGUGCUUCUAUAGAUGAUGUAAAUUUAUGAGAUUUUGAUGAAACCCUAGCUUGUAAUUCUAUCGAUGAUGUAUAUUUCUGA
This 410-nucleotide long non-coding RNA is filed under the name Capsicum annuum. Its description in RNAcentral is "long non-coding RNA (CANN_LNC003423)". Lineage: Eukaryota; Viridiplantae; Streptophyta; Magnoliopsida; Solanales; Solanaceae. The record is from RNAcentral.